Cyprinus carpio (common carp) is the source of this 1077-nucleotide long non-coding RNA. The record is from Ensembl. Lineage: Eukaryota; Metazoa; Chordata; Actinopteri; Cypriniformes; Cyprinidae.
UAUAAAACUAGCAAACAAAAUUACAUGCUGAUACUUUUGCUUUCUGUCUUGUUUAUUUUCUCCAUAGGUCAGAAUGAUGUUCUGGCGAUUUGAAACAAAAUCAGAAAACACACUGUACUUGGCCACUGGCCAGCUCAUCUAGUCUGACAGCUACUCUUUUCUCCUCCCAUCAGACGGGGAGUAAAUAUUAUCUUUGAGUCUUGCAGCAACUAAACAAUCUGUCAGGAUCAAAACAAGAGAAAGGAACUAUGAGUCAGAUCUUUACGGAUUGAGCCCAGCAAUAAAAAAGAAAACAGGUAAUUCAUUGUUGUAGAAAAACUUUGUUAAUUCUUUUUUAAAAAUACAUUUGAAAAGCCAAUUCGUAUUUCCAGACUGUAUUUUCUAAUUCUCUCUCUUUCCUUUUUCUAUGUAGAUCAGAAUGAUAUAAGAUGUUAUUCAGAGAAAUAUUUCAGGAACAGGAACCAAAAUACAGUGUUUUCUCAGAGAAGUUUAUCAAAAGAAGCUUCAGGCACAUACUCAUUUUCUCUGCAGCUUGUGAAUGAGGAUGUUACUGGAAGAUCUGCAUUCCAUUCCUGCUCGUGUACAGUGACAAUAAACUGAAGUCAAGUUAUGACAGUGUAUUGAGACACAACAGCAGCAAGAUUAUAUAAAACAUCAUUCAGAGAAAUCUUUCCUUUGUGUUUCAGGAUCCAGAAUACAGCGUUACGGAAGGAGGUUCAGUCUCAUACUAAUGUAAGUUCACGAGUUUAUUCACUCAUUAUUUGAUCAUUGCUGCUCUUUCCAACAAAAUGUGAUUAGGUAACACCCAACUCAUCUUUUAUAAUGUAUAAUGUAGAGAUAUCAGGAAUCGUAUUGCAAAUGUCAAAGCUGUUUUUCCAGAAACGCAUAGUUUAUUCACAUUACUAAAGCAAAUGAAACAAAUGUGUAGUUUGGAGAUCACAGGAGUCAUUGUAUAGGUUAACACUUGAGUAUUUUAAUAAUUAUAUAAUCAUAUAUCAUAAGACAAGUGACUAAACAAAACAAUAUUGUUCCUAGUUCAAUUAUCAUAAUAAACUUAUUUAUAUACAGCUGUUGUCA